Molecule: long non-coding RNA, 371 nt
Filed under: Oreochromis niloticus (Nile tilapia)
Lineage: Eukaryota; Metazoa; Chordata; Actinopteri; Cichliformes; Cichlidae
Description: lncRNA (ENSONIG00000040612.1)
Source: RNAcentral
UUUUUUUCAAUUUUAUAGAUGACAUAGAUGGGAUGGCUACUGGAUCACAGCAACUCCCUGAUGCUUCCACAUUGCGAGAUGACCAGGGGAAUGAUGCCUGUGUGACUUCUGGUUCACCUCCUGUCCCUGACUCAGUUACUAAAGGUUUACGUGUUUCAUCAAGGCGGUGUGUGAAGAGACCAUGGUCUGAGGAGGAGAUAGGAGCGGUGAUGAAACAUAUGAAGCCUUUUAUUGAAAACGGUAUCACUGUCACCAACCAGCAGUGUCUGAAGUGCAAAGAAAAGGAACAACCUAUCUUGGAGACGAGAUCUAUUCAAAACAUUCGAGAUUUUGUGCGCAACAGAGGACUGGCCUUUAAAAAAAAUAAAUAA